CGGUGAGCGCGAAACAGAGGAUCCAGGACAGACAGAGGGCCAGCAGCACCUGCGGAGCAGCCACCUUCAGCGGCCAGCCCUGCCCCUUCCCCUGAGGGUGGCUUUGGGAAGAUUCCCAGUCCUGCUAGUGAAGGGAGGCGUCUGCUGUGCCCUGGAUAAACUACAGCGUUGAAGGAACAGGCUGGAAAUGGAAGCAGAAAAUAACCUGUGGGAGAGACUUGUGGCAAAUUGUGGCAGAAAUGCAACACACCAGGGACACCAAAAUCUUUAAAAGCUUGAGGCUCUACAACCCUGAAUCAGGUCCAACAACCUUGGACUACAUGCUAAAGAGAUAUUAAAGGAAGAAGGCCCUGGACAAACAGGUUUGGUACGAGAGAGGUAAACAGGACCCACAGAGGGGAAUCUACCAGGAAGGUGGUAACGCAAAGACACCUCAUGUGCGGAAGAGUCGUGGUUAGGAAUGUGAAGAGAGGAUGUGUGGCUCUGAGGGAAAGGGCUCCAAGGACACAGUUUCCAGACUCCACAGUUCUUCCCAGCCCAUCUCUUGAAUCAAAGGCUGCCAUUUUACCCAAGCUGACUUUAGCAGCCCGCAUUGCACAAGAAGGACUUGAUGGUUUGAAAAAUCAAAAAGAUCCAGAGCUGAACAUGUGACUUAAGCUGGGCCAAUCAGCUCUUCACUGGAAUUUUAAAAUGUGAGACUAGCUAAACAGUACCCUCUUACUUAUGAGUGCACCUAACAGAUCAUAGGUGCUGGAGAUGGAAGUUGAACCUGGCUUGGGCUCUGCUCCUGCUCCACACCAACUUUAUGACCACCUCCCCAGCAAGAGACCAAGACCUUGUACACAAAUACCCCAGCAGGCAAAGGUGGGUCUCAGAAUGUACUAGUCCAUCAGGACAGAGACCUGUACCACCCCAUGCUAGAGCAGGACAGCAAGAGAGCAGGUUCUGUUUGCAUUACUUGGAAGAGGCCUGGGCCCCAAAAGAAGAUUGAAUCAGCCACCUGGGGAGAGAGGGGCCCCAGUCCCUCCAGCCACAUGGAUGACAACAGCGGAGGACAGAGAUGGCAGUGGAGUGAAUGGCCAGGUCUUCUUUAAAGAGCAGUUCCAGCUCUGGUCACCACAACAGCCACAUCCCAAAGGGACAGUCCUUUAAUAGUCCUUGCUGUUGCUCCUUUGUCCCCUUGGGAUACUUGACAUGAGAAGUUCAGUCCUUCAUGGCCUGUGGCAAAUGUGUCUUUGACUCACUGUCAGCUAGAUCAUGACAGGCACAAUAUCCUCCAGGCCCAGAACCCACAGUGUUCAUUCCCUGUCUCAUACCAUGUCCAGCAACACUGGCUAACUAAACCAAUAACUACACCAACCAGAAGGGGCAACUCCCUCUUGUUAUCCAGUAAAUAUCUUGAUCUUAGAGAACCCAGGGCAGUUGGUGGAAUCUGAAUCAGACAGAAUCUACAGCUUGUAGAGGUUGCUUCAAGGAAGAUACUUGACCUAAUACAACUCUGACCUCCCAAGGGCCUUGCCCAACUGAAGAGGACAUUUAACCAACUCAUUCAAAAGAACAAGGGACCAGUCAGCUCAGCGUGAGGAAGAAUCCUUUUCUAACACCCAUUCCCCUCCUCUAGAGAGAAAGG
This is a long non-coding RNA of Fukomys damarensis (Damara mole-rat), 1630 nucleotides long. RefSeq lists it as uncharacterized. Lineage: Eukaryota; Metazoa; Chordata; Mammalia; Rodentia; Bathyergidae. The transcript is spliced from 5 exons. The record is from RefSeq and is a predicted model, not a curated record.